RNAcentral lists this ribosomal RNA (420 nucleotides) under Fusobacteriota bacterium. RNAcentral describes it as "Fusobacteria bacterium partial 16S ribosomal RNA". It matches the Rfam family "Bacterial small subunit ribosomal RNA", at positions 355 to 776 of the family's 1533-position model. Lineage: Bacteria; Fusobacteriati; Fusobacteriota. The record is from RNAcentral.
UGGGGGAUAUUGCACAAUGGGCGAAAGCCUGAUGCAGCGACGCCGCGUGGGGGAUGAAGGCCUUCGGGUUGUAAACUUCUUUUGCUCUGAACAAGGCAUGCCUUUGGGGUGUGUUGAGUGUAGGGGUUGAUUAGCGCCGGCUAACUACGUGCCAGCAGCCGCGGUAGUACGUAGGGCGCGAGCGUUGUCCGGAAUUAUUGGGCGUAAAGGGCUUGUAGGUGGCUGGUUGCGUCUGUCGUGAAAGCUCAUGGCUUAACUGUGGGUUUGCGGUGGGUACGGGCUGGCUUGAGUGCAGUAGGGGAGGCUGGAAUUCCUGGUGUAGCGGUGGAAUGCGCAGAUAUCAGGAGGAAUACCGGUGGCGAAGGCGGGUCUCUGGGCUGUUACUGACGCUGAGGAGCGAAAGCGUGGGGAGCGAACAGG